GCGCACGGGCCCUGUGAGCGAUCGCGGUGGGCUUGGGCUGGUGACGCGUGCGCCGGCCGGCCGCCGAGGGGCUACCGUUCUGCCUCCGACCGGUCGUGUGUGGGUUUACUCGGAGAAAUACUAGGCUUUAGAAUUUCACCAUAUGAAUUUUGGGAGAGAGGAGCACAGUUCAGCCCAUAACUAACACACGUGAUGAAGAAGACAUGCCAACAGAGGGUUAAUUCCAGAUAAAAUGAAAUGUUCCAAACAGUACGUUUGGUUAUUUGAUUCAUCUGUGGGGGAAGGAAAGAUAAUUUUCCAAAGGACAUUCCUCCUAAAUUCUGUCUUAAAGUUGUUUACGGAAUGAAGUUGAUAAUAGUGAGACCUUGUUGGUACAAGACUAUGUAACAUAACCUGCGCUUCUCAACAAAGAAUUGCUUUUCUGACUUCUGCACUCAAUAGCAAGACAAAUCUCUCCUCUGCCUUCUCCUUAUCAGACUACUCAACAUGAAGGCAAUAAGAAUGAAGACCUCUAUGUAUAAUAAUUGACUUCCACUUAAUAAAUAAGGUUACUUGGUACACUGGUCGACAAAACCUUGAAAUGUUGAUGUUUAAGGGCUGUUGAUUGCUGGCAGCAAAGAAGUCCAACUGUGCUGGUACCCGAGAUAGCGUCUCCACAUUUUCUUCCAGGAUCAUCACCUUUGUUCUAAAUAGCUCCCACAUAGUGUGAACAGAAGUCAUAUGUUUUAGAUUUUCUGCCUUGGCACCCAGG
This 751-nucleotide long non-coding RNA is filed under the name Homo sapiens (human). Its description in RNAcentral is "non-protein coding MIR663AHG:15". The record is from RNAcentral. Lineage: Eukaryota; Metazoa; Chordata; Mammalia; Primates; Hominidae.